CUUCUUCUAUAUAAAAGUUGUUUAACUAAUUGGUCAAACGCCUUGAUUUGAGAAAAAAGUACUUUUUUCUCAAAAAAAAAGCCUCCCAAUCACUAGGCCAACCAGGGUCUUCUAUGUUAUGGCUAUAGGCAAAAUAUUGAGGCAACCCAUGUUGUGGUGUCCGACAUGCCUUAAUAUCUGCUCUAUUUUUAGGCAUUUGCACUUAUAGAUCCCGGAUCUACACAUGCAUGUCUCUCUACUUUGCAUCUUAUUUAGAGAGGGAUCUCAAAUUCUUAGAUUAGUCUUUAGUUGCGACUCAAAUAGGGGAGUCUAUAGUCGUAGAUUAGGUUUACCAGGAUUGUGCAGUCUCGGGGUAGGGAAGGACCACGAUCCAUUUCAUUGUAUAAAAAAAUGAUUAAUUUUGAUGAUAUCAUGAGCAUGGAUUGACUAGCAUCAUGUCCUACUACACUUAAUUAUCACGUCAAAAUUGUAAGUUUGUAAUUCCAAUGGAAGUGUGUCAAGAGUAAGAAGGCAAGACAACUACAAUUAACAACAAGAGGAUAUCUUUCAUGAUGGGUAAGAAAGGGCUGUUUGGGCUUCAUUAUUGUAGUUCUGGACACCCAAGCGGAGGGAAUUAUGCUUGACAGUGCCAGUAAUAAGUGAGUAUCCAGAAUGUUUGGAUGGUUAUGCUUGACUGUGCCAGUAAUAAGUGAGUAUCCAGAGUGUUUGGAUGGCUUACCGGGCUACCUUCGAUGUGAGAAUUUUUUGAGUUAUGUGUGGACAUUUACCCAAGAUAAGGGUCUAUUUCAAUUCCAUAUAUCAUAUGGCACCAACAGAGUUGAAACAGCUAAGGGGCUGUUUGGUAGCUGGUUAAGGUUCAAGCUAAUACAUAAAUAACUUGGUCAUUCAGGUAUUAAUUUUAUACAUUGUUUCAUUUGUAAAUAAAAUAAAAGUUAUUGAUGUAUUAAUUCAUACAAUUUUAUUAAUUUUACACAACGUUUGGUUGGUAAACAAAGCAACUCUCAUAAGAAAUGACAUUGCCAAAAAUAAUUUUUUAGAUAAUCGUGCCUCAAACUGAUAGGAUAGAGCUUUCAUAGCAGUAUGUUCCUUAGGCAAUUUUAUCCAUUUUGUCAUUAGACUUACUCUUUAGAUCCUUGUUUGAAAUAUAUAAACAAAUAAUCACUGCAAAUAUUUGAGGGUGGAAAGGACUAGUAAUGUGGAGAUAGACACUGAUUAUAUUUGAAAGAUUAUCUCAACUAUCAGCAUUUUUUGUGUUAUUAUUCUCAAAAAUUUUAGAUAUAUUUGGUGAUUUAUUUAUAUCUAUUUGUAGAGUUAUUCAAAGUUUUUCUUUUGCUUAUUUUCUUAAUAAUAAAAUGAUAAAAUUGAAGAUAUAUGAGAUAUACGACCCAUAGAUCUAUGGAACUUACGCAUCGUCCCAUACUGCAUAAAACGCAUCGCCUCACGCCCCCACCUUUUAAAACACUAAUUCUUGCUACUGAGGUGAGCCAUCCACUCUACUCAUGAAUGUUGUUACCUAUGCUUUCUUAGUUAAGAUAUUGGGUUUUAUUCAUUCAGACAGUAUUAUAUGCUCCAUGACUAGAUUGUUGGAUUAUGGGAUUCAUUAUUUACUCAUGUUGAACUGCUGAUACAUGGUUUCCACAAUUCCACUGUCAUGUUAAAUUGUAUUAUGGUAUUUGCCUAUUUAGAUUAAGCUUCUUGUUAUGAAUGCUGAUUUGCUUACUGAAAAUAGAUGCUCGCUAAGUGUCGUCAUGACCUACCCAAGUUUCAGUAGUGACAAUGACCAUCUAAGCAAUUAACAAUACAAUGCUGAUAAUCCGUCCCAUCAUACAAAUAAUGCCAGCGGUAACUGGGUUAACUCUUCCUUUUUAACAAGGCACCAGUAACUGGAUUAAAGUCCCAGGACUAUGCUAGUAAUGCAAUCAAACAAGAGCAAGUUGCUUAGGAAGAAAGGAGAAUAAGAUAUACAACAUAAGUAGAAGAAAAUCAUAUUAAAUUGUGUG
Molecule: long non-coding RNA, 2000 nt
Filed under: Solanum lycopersicum (tomato)
Lineage: Eukaryota; Viridiplantae; Streptophyta; Magnoliopsida; Solanales; Solanaceae
Description: long non-coding RNA (SLYC_LNC000520)
Source: RNAcentral